GACGAACCGUGCGAACGUUAUUCGGAAUCACUGGGCCUAAAGCGCGUGUAGGCGGGCCGGCACGUCCGACGCUGAAAUCCCCCGGCUCAACCGGGGAAGGGGCGCGGAUACGACCGGCCUGGAGGGGGGUAGGGGGAGCGGGAACUGCCGGUGGAGCGGUGAAAUGCGUUGAGAUCGGCAGGAACGCCCGCGGCGAAAGCGCGCUCCUGGACCCCGCCUGACGCUGAGACGCGAAAGCCAGGGGAGCGAACGGG
This 254-nucleotide ribosomal RNA is filed under the name uncultured bacterium. Its description in RNAcentral is "partial 16S ribosomal RNA". It matches the Rfam family "Bacterial small subunit ribosomal RNA", at positions 524 to 776 of the family's 1533-position model. The record is from RNAcentral.